CGUUCCCGGGCCUUGUACACACCGCCCGUCAAGACACGAAAGUUGGUAACACCCGAAGCCGGUGGCCUAACCCCUUGUGGGAGGGAGCUGUCGAAGGUGGGACUGGCGAUUGGGACU
RNAcentral lists this ribosomal RNA (117 nucleotides) under uncultured bacterium. RNAcentral's name for it is "partial 16S ribosomal RNA". It matches the Rfam family "Bacterial small subunit ribosomal RNA", at positions 1369 to 1482 of the family's 1533-position model. The record is from RNAcentral.